CCUGUGAGUUUGACAAACCUGCACUAAUGCAUAUCCCAAAAGCAAUGUGAUUUGGUUUUAUGCGUGUGUUUUGGAGCAAAUGUCUUUCAGUUUUCCUAGUAGAAAAAUUUUGGCAAGUUUUUUGGCACCAACUUUAUGAAACCCAAAGCGAAGGUUUGCAGAUGAAACUAUCAUUUAUUUGCAUUUCUUUUGACAGCCAGAGUUAAUGAAAACCAAAUGAAGUGAAAGUUCGAAGCCCGAGACCUCCAGAACCAAUUACAGCAGAAGCUUUCCAGAAGGGGCAGCAUUCUCCCCCCAGGUAAAAAUGCUGGGAAAAGGUUUCAAGGAAGUUUAACUCCAAUUACCUUCAUGGUAGUAAGCCAGUUAAACGUCUCUGCAAAUCUUUACUGAGGGUUUAAAUUAUUCCCAUGUCAAAUUAUCUGGAUUAUUCUAAUCUGCUCAGUUUGUCUUGGUUUCAGUGAAAUAAUCCAAACAUGACUGGAGUCGUCGUGAGAGAUAUUUGAACUCAGCAACUGACCGAUUUUUCUGCAGUCCGCGUACCUGAACUCCUUCCAGGCCAUUAUCAGCGUCUGUGCAGCUUCACAGGCUCAAUCCCUUAAUUACACACUGUUAACUAAAUUUGUUUCACAUGGUGUUUUCCUGCUAAAUCGAGGGAGGAAUCACCGCCACCGGGCCUCAGAGCAGAUUCUCUCGUGCUUCCCUGAAAGUCAGAAUGCCCGGCUUUACCUGACGAGUUUGUUUUGAUGGCGAUCCAGCUUCAUGCACACAGUGUUCCCACAGUUCUUAAAGAACUUCAGACCUUCUUGGGAAACGCUCACAAAUUUAAUGUGCAAUCUAAUCUAAGGAUUUACACCUCCAACCACAAAGGAUUCUUCAGCGCAGGCGGACGCUGCAGCAGCGACUGGGAACACAGUUGUUAUUUUCUGCUUUCUUUUGCACGUUCUCAUGUGUUCCUGGCGAACUGCAGAAAUGUGCCAUCAGCACGACAAAUAUAAGUUCUAGGCGGGGGGGCGCAGUUUGACACGGCCUCAUUUAUACUUUAGAUGUCAACCAAAGCAGAGAUGCUUCAUUUUAGUCUGCAAAAACAGGCUUCCUAGAAAUAGGACAGAAAUUCUUAU
Molecule: long non-coding RNA, 1118 nt
Organism: Oryzias melastigma (Indian medaka)
Lineage: Eukaryota; Metazoa; Chordata; Actinopteri; Beloniformes; Adrianichthyidae
Exons: 3
Source: RefSeq, a predicted model, not a curated record